This 301-nucleotide ribosomal RNA is filed under the name uncultured bacterium. Its description in RNAcentral is "partial 16S ribosomal RNA". It matches the Rfam family "Bacterial small subunit ribosomal RNA", at positions 509 to 807 of the family's 1533-position model. The record is from RNAcentral.
CAGCCGCCGCGGUAACACAGAGGGUGCGAGCGUUAAUCGGAUUUACUGGGCGUAAAGCGUGCGUAUGCGGCUUUUUAAGUCGGAUGUUAAAUCCCUGAGCUUAACUUAGGAAUUGCAUUCGAUACUGGGAAGCUAGAGUAUGGGAGAGGAUGGUAGAAUUCCAGGUGUAGCGGUGAAAUGCGUAGAGAUCUGGAGGAAUACCGAUGGCGAAGGCAGCCAUCUGGCCUAAUACUGACGCUGAGGUACGAAAGCAUGGGGAGCAAACAGGAUUAGAUACCCCUGUAGUCCCUGUCUCUUAUAC